AUCUAAUUAGUUUUAAAGAAAAUAUUAAAUUGUGGAUUUAAAGUUAUAGUUUAUUUAUAUUAGGUA
Molecule: transfer RNA, 66 nt
Filed under: Wormaldia spinosa
Lineage: Eukaryota; Metazoa; Arthropoda; Insecta; Trichoptera; Philopotamidae
Description: tRNA-His
Source: RNAcentral